UUUGUGUAAACAUAGUGGUCACUUGAAGACACACAUGAAGAAACACACAGGAGAGGGACUGUACAAGUGAGAGGUGUGUGGCUAUUCGUGUAAACAUAGUGGUCACUUGAAGACACACAUGAAGAAACACACAGGAGAGGGACUGUACAAGUGAGAGGUGUGUGGCUAUUCGUGUGAACAUAGUGGUCACUUGAAGACACACAUGAAGAAACAUACAGGAGAGAGACUGCACAAGUGAGAGGUGUGUGGUAAAGCAUAUAAAGAGAGUGGUCACUUGAAGGCACACAUGAAGAUACAUACAGGAGAGACCAUACAAGGGUGAGGUGUGUGGUUAUGUAUGUAACCAAAGUGGUGAUUUGAAGACACACAUGAGGAUACAUAUAGGAGACUGACUUAAACAAGUGUGAGGUGUGUGGUUAUCCAUGUAACCAGAUUGGACCCUCGAAAACGUGAAGUAGCACAUGAGGAUAUAUAUGAAUGUAAGGGAAGAAAUAGCUAAAACAUGAACAUUUAAGAAAUCUCUGACACCACAAGUAUUGGGGCUUUAAUAUUUGGUGUGUAACAUUAUCUAGUGAUCCUCUUCUAAAUUGUUUAACCCUUUGCAUGCUGGGAAAUUUGUUGUCUGCUUAAAUGACGUCUGCUGAAUUUUUAAAAUUAGCAUUAUGUUCAUUUUUUUUAAAGAAUAAUAUCAGAAUAGCAAACAGUUUGGAUCCUGAUGAGACGCCACUGUUUGCAAAAGCCUUCAAAAUUCGGUUCCAGCACUUAAAGAGUUGGGUCAAACCCCUGGGGUGUAAAAUAGUCACACAUCAUGUAUCACAGGAUUAAUAUAGACUUGUAUAGUAAAAUGACUAAACAAACUUUUCUAAAAAGACAAGGCCCAGAAGUGUAAGGUGUAUUAUAUGACAAGUAAAAUUGUAUUGUAAUGUGUUACUCCACCAAGGUUAUUAAAGUCAUGUCCCUUAGGUAAAACGUUGCUGUGUACUAAAGCUUUUUUGUUUCUAUUAUAUGUAUAUUGGGAAAACUUCAAAAAUCGUCCUUUCUGAAACUAUAAGGCCAAGAUGUUUUGUGUUUGGCAUGUAACAUCAAAAUGACAUAUAUGAACUGCACCAACUUUGUUUAAAACAUGCCAUUGGGGUCUAAACUGGUCCGUCUCGGUUGUUACCUGUUUCCCAUAUAUGUAUAUAGUUUAUUCCCAAAUAUGUAUAUAGUUAAAACUCAAAUAUUUGAAACACCAAUGUACAGAGGUUUGGUAUUAAGCAUGAUAUAUGGUCAUCUUUCAAGUUUGUUCAAAUGGUGCCAACAAUUCAAAAUUGGUCACACCGUGUGGUUACUUGUUUUUUAAUACAGUAUAAUAGUGAAAACUUUUAAAAUCUUCUCCUCUAAAACUUCAAGGGAUGGGGAUUCGGUAAAUGACCAGUAACAUCAUUUUGUGGUCAUCUACCAAGUUUGUAAAUAUCAUGCCCAUGUGAUUGAAAUUGGCUAGUGUUGAACUUGUUUGAAUGAUGUAUCUCUGACGAGAUUGAAAGUGCUUGUAGUCGGUUCUUGUUUCUUUAUAUGGCUAUAGUGAACACUGUAGGAUAGUAUGAAUAUAACGUUAACUCAAAUAGUGUGAAUCAAUGGUUUAUAUAAGUGACCAUCCUAGGAUUGCACAUGGAGUUGCAUAUAUGCAACAUUUUUUUCAUCAAUUAUCAUAUGCAUAUUUUGAAUUUGUAUAUGGUUUCAAAAAUUAAAAGUUGUGUACUGGGAAUUUUCAUCAUGAAAUUAUAUUCUUAGUAGGAUAGGUAUUCGAUAUUCCAACAAUAUUCAUUUAAUAUGAUGGUGAUUGUAAAUUGUCUUUAUAUUCAGUUCUCAUUAGCAUUUUCAUCAUACUUUCUAUGCUUUCACAACGUCCAAAAAGGGCCAUGUUGUUGUUAUUUUGUCUUGGUUAUCUCUAUAAAAUAAAUAGGAUGAUAAAAAGUGCACACAAAUCUCGACCCGUGCGUUAUGACACACUCUUUAUAAAUUUGAAUGGCGUGUGUUACUUUCAAACUUGCGAUUAAUUUUGCAAAAAAUGAGUUGCGCCUUAAAUUAUGCAAUAGCGAACAACGUCAGU
Molecule: long non-coding RNA, 2092 nt
Organism: Dreissena polymorpha
Lineage: Eukaryota; Metazoa; Mollusca; Bivalvia; Myida; Dreissenidae
Exons: 3
Source: RefSeq, a predicted model, not a curated record